RNAcentral lists this ribosomal RNA (383 nucleotides) under uncultured eukaryote. Its description in RNAcentral is "partial 18S ribosomal RNA". It matches the Rfam family "Eukaryotic small subunit ribosomal RNA", at positions 592 to 976 of the family's 1831-position model. The record is from RNAcentral.
CAAUAGCGUGUAUUAAAGUUGUUGCAGUUACAAAGCUCGUAGUUGGAUUUCUGGUAGGAGCGACCGUGCCGAACUUGAUUGUUCGAGUAUUGUGUUGUCUUCAGCCAUCCUCGUGGAGAACUUUUCUAACAUUAACUUGUUGGGAUUGGGACCCGCGUCGUUUACUGUGAAAAAAUUAGAGUGUUUAAAGCAGGCAUUAGCUUGAAUACAUUAGCAUGGAAUAAUAAGAUAGGACUUUGGUACUAUUUUGUUGGUUUGCAUACCAAAUUAAUGAUCAACAGGAACAGUUUGAGGAUAUUCGUAUGAACAUGUCAGAGGUGAAAUUCUUGGAUUUUGAUCAGACGAACUACUGCGAAAGCAUUUAUCAAGGAUGUUUUCAUUAA